GGGUUGUGAGGUUAAGCGACUAAGCGUACACGGUGGAUGCCUAGGCAGUCAGAGGCGAUGAAGGGCGUGCUAAUCUGCGAUAAGCGUCGGUAAGCUGAUAUGAAGCGCUAUACCCGACGAUACCCGAAUGGGGAAACCCAGUGUGUUUCGACACACUAUCAUGACAUGAAUACAUAGUGUCAUGAGGCGAACCGGGGGAACUGAAACAUCUCAGUACCCCGAGGAAAAGAAAUCAACCGAGAUUCCCCCAGUAGCGGCGAGCGAACGGGGAGGAGCCCAGAACCUGAAUCAGUUUGUGUGUUAGUGGAAGCGUCUGGAAAGUCGCACAGUAAAGGGUGAUAGUCCCGUACACAAAAAUGCACAAGUUGUGAGUUCGAUGAGUAGGGCGGGACACGUGACAUCCUGUCUGAAUAUGGGGGGACCAUCCUCCAAGGCUAAAUACUCCUGACUGACCGAUAGUGAACCAGUACCGUGAGGGAAAGGCGAAAAGAACCCCGGCGAGGGGAGUGAAAUAGAACCUGAAACCGUGUACGUACAAGCAGUGGGAGCCUACUUGUUAGGUGACUGCGUACCUUUUGUAUAAUGGGUCAGCGACUUAUAUUCUGUAGCAAGGUUAACCGUAUAGGGGAGCCGCAGGGAAACCGAGUCUUAACUGGGCGUUAAGUUGCAGGGUAUAGACCCGAAACCCGGUGAUCUAGCCAUGGGCAGGUUGAAGGUUGGGUAACACUAACUGGAGGACCGAACCGACUAAUGUUGAAAAAUUAGCGGAUGACUUGUGGCUGGGGGUGAAAGGCCAAUCAAACCGGGAGAUAGCUGGUUCUCCCCGAAAGCUAUUUAGGUAGCGCCUCGUGAAUUCAUCUUCGGGGGUAGAGCACUGUUUCGGCUAGGGGGUCAUCCCGACUUACCAACCCGAUGCAAACUACGAAUACCGAAGAAUGUUAUCACGGGAGACACACGGCGGGUGCUAACGUUCGUCGUGAAGAGGGAAACAACCCAGACCGCCAGCUAAGGUCCCAAAGUCAUGGUUAAGUGGGAAACGAUGUGGGAAGGCAUAGACAGCCAGGAUGUUGGCUUAGAAGCAGCCAUCAUUUAAAGAAAGCGUAAUAGCUCACUGGUCGAGUCGGCCUGCGCGGAAGAUGUAACGGGGCUAAACCAUGCACCGAAGCUGCGGCAGCGACACUUAGGUGUUGUUGGGUAGGGGAGCGUUCUGUAAGCCUGCGAAGGUGGCCUGUGAGGGCUGCUGGAGGUAUCAGAAGUGCGAAUGCUGACAUAAGUAACGAUAAUGCGGGUGAAAAACCCGCACGCCGGAAGACCAAGGGUUCCUGUCCAACGUUAAUCGGGGCAGGGUGAGUCGACCCCUAAGGCGAGGCUGAAAAGCGUAGUCGAUGGGAAACAGGUUAAUAUUCCUGUACUCGGUGUUACUGCGAAGGGGGGACGGAGAAAGCUAGGUUAUCCGGGCGACGGUUGUCCCGGUUUAAGCGUGAAGGUGGGUGACUUUGGUAAAUCCGGGUCAUCGUUAACACUGAGGCGUGAUGACGAGUCACUACGGUGAUGAAGUAACCGAUGCUACGCUUCCAGGAAAAGCCUCUAAGCUCCAGGUAACAUCAAAUCGUACCCCAAACCGACACAGGUGGUCAGGUAGAGAAUACUCAGGCGCUUGAGAGAACUCGGGUGAAGGAACUAGGCAAAAUGGUGCCGUAACUUCGGGAGAAGGCACGCUGAUGGUAGGUGAAGUGACUUGCUCAUGGAGCUGAAAUCAGUCGAAGAUACCAGCUGGCUGCAACUGUUUAAUAAAAACACAGCACUGUGCAAACACGAAAGUGGACGUAUACGGUGUGACGCCUGCCCGGUGCCGGAAGGUUAAUUGAUGGGGUCAGCCGCAAGGCGAAGCUCUUGAUCGAAGCCCCGGUAAACGGCGGCCGUAACUAUAACGGUCCUAAGGUAGCGAAAUUCCUUGUCGGGUAAGUUCCGACCUGCACGAAUGGCGUAAUGAUGGCCAGGCUGUCUCCACCCGAGACUCAGUGAAAUUGAACUCGCUGUGAAGAUGCAGUGUACCCGCGGCAAGACGGAAAGACCCCGUGAACCUUUACUAUAGCUUGACACUGAACCUUGAGCCUUGAUGUGUAGGAUAGGUGGGAGGCUUUGAAGCGUGGACGCCAGUCUGCGUGGAGCCAACCUUGAAAUACCACCCUUUAAUGUUUGAUGUUCUAACGUGGACCCGUGAUCCGGGUUGCGGACAGUGUCUGGUGGGUAGUUUGACUGGGGCGGUCUCCUCCCAAAGCGUAACGGAGGAGCACGAAGGUUAGCUAAUCCUGGUCGGACAUCAGGAGGUUAGUGCAAAGGCAUAAGCUAGCUUGACUGCGAGAGUGACAGCUCGAGCAGGUGCGAAAGCAGGUCUUAGUGAUCCGGUGGUUCUGAAUGGAAGGGCCAUCGCUCAACGGAUAAAAGGUACUCCGGGGAUAACAGGCUGAUACCGCCCAAGAGUUCAUAUCGACGGCGGUGUUUGGCACCUCGAUGUCGGCUCAUCACAUCCUGGGGCUGAAGUAGGUCCCAAGGGUAUGGCUGUUCGCCAUUUAAAGUGGUACGCGAGCUGGGUUUAGAACGUCGUGAGACAGUUCGGUCCCUAUCUGCCGUGGGCGUUGGAAGAUUGAGAGGGGUUGCUCCUAGUACGAGAGGACCGGAGUGAACGCACCACUGGUGUACGGGUUGUGAUGCCAAUUGCAUUGCCCGGUAGCUAAGUGCGGAAGAGAUAACCGCUGAAAGCAUCUAAGCGGGAAACUUGCCUCGAGAUGAGUCUUCCCUGGACACUUGAUGUCCCUGAAGGGCCGUUGAAGACGACGACGUAGAUAGGCUGGGUGUGUAAGCGUAGCGAUACGUUGAGCUAACCAGUACUAAUGACCCGAGAGGCUUAACCUUACAACACCGAAGGUGUUU
Molecule: ribosomal RNA, 2934 nt
Filed under: Pectobacterium brasiliense
Lineage: Bacteria; Pseudomonadati; Pseudomonadota; Gammaproteobacteria; Enterobacterales; Pectobacteriaceae
Description: 23S ribosomal RNA
Rfam family: Bacterial large subunit ribosomal RNA
Source: RNAcentral